RNAcentral lists this ribosomal RNA (467 nucleotides) under uncultured bacterium. RNAcentral describes it as "partial 16S ribosomal RNA". It matches the Rfam family "Bacterial small subunit ribosomal RNA", at positions 28 to 507 of the family's 1533-position model. The record is from RNAcentral.
GACGAACGCUGGCGGCGUGCUUAACACAUGCAAGUCGAACGGAAAGGCCCUGCUUUUGUGGGGUGCUCGAGUGGCGAACGGGUGAGUAACACGUGAGUAACCUGCCCUUGACUUUGGGAUAACUUCAGGAAACUGGGGCUAAUACCGGAUAGGAGCUCCUGCUGCAUGGUGGGGGUUGGAAAGUUUCGGCGGGUGGGGAUGGACUCGCGGCUUAUCAGCUUGUUGGUGGGGUAGUGGCUUACCAAGGCUUUGACGGGUAGCCGGCCUGGGAGGGAGACCGGCUACAGUCGCCUAGAGGAGCGGCCCGUGCGGAUUCGGGGGGCAGGGGUGGAAACUUGUGCCCACUGGGCCGCGUCCGGGUGGAGGACCGCCGCGUGCGAGAUGACUGCCUUCGGGUUGGAAAACGCUUUCGCCUGUGACGAGGCGUGAGGACGGGAACUGGGUAAAGAGCCACCGCUUACUUCGUG